This 246-nucleotide ribosomal RNA is filed under the name uncultured bacterium. RNAcentral's name for it is "partial 16S ribosomal RNA". It matches the Rfam family "Bacterial small subunit ribosomal RNA", at positions 57 to 305 of the family's 1533-position model. The record is from RNAcentral.
GCAAGUCGAACGAUGAUUAAGAGCUUGCUCUUAUGAUUAGUGGCGGACGGGUGAGUAAUAUAUAGGGAUCUGCCUGUUAGUGGGGGACAACAGCCGGAAACGGCUGCUAAUACCGCAUACGCUCUACAGACGAAAGUGGGGGACCGUCGGACCUCACGCUACCAGAUGAACCUAUAUCAGAUUAGCUAGUUGGUGGGGUAAAGGCCUACCAAGGCGACGAUCUGUAGCUGGUUUGAGAGAAUGAUC